CCACACCUAAAAACUUUCCACGUGAACCGUUUAAAUUUGUUUCGUGCCGAGUGGAAACACAAGGCUGAACGAAGGUCGAGUGAGAGCUCUUCCGAUGUAUUUUUCAAACCCUUUACUUAAUACUGAACUAUACUCCGACGACGAAAGUCUUUGGUUUUAAUCCAUAA
RNAcentral lists this unclassified non-coding RNA (167 nucleotides) under Lagenidium sp. SLG-2014a. Its description in RNAcentral is "internal transcibed spacer 1". Lineage: Eukaryota; Oomycota; Peronosporomycetes; Pythiales; Pythiaceae. The record is from RNAcentral.